UACGGAGGAUGCGAGCGUUAUCCGGAUUUAUUGGGUUUAAAGGGUGCGUAGGCGGCCUGCCAAGUCAGCGGUAAAAUUGCGGGGCUCAACCCCGUACAGCCGUUGAAACUGCCGGGCUCGAGUGGGCGAGAAGUAUGCGGAAUGCGUGGUGUAGCGGUGAAAUGCAUAGAUAUCACGCAGAACCCCGAUUGCGAAGGCAGCAUACCGGCGCCCUACUGGCGCUGAGGCACGAAAGUGCGGGGAUCAAACAGG
RNAcentral lists this ribosomal RNA (252 nucleotides) under uncultured bacterium. RNAcentral's name for it is "partial 16S ribosomal RNA". It matches the Rfam family "Bacterial small subunit ribosomal RNA", at positions 524 to 776 of the family's 1533-position model. The record is from RNAcentral.